RNAcentral lists this ribosomal RNA (406 nucleotides) under uncultured bacterium. Its description in RNAcentral is "partial 16S ribosomal RNA". It matches the Rfam family "Bacterial small subunit ribosomal RNA", at positions 29 to 526 of the family's 1533-position model. The record is from RNAcentral.
AUUGAACGCUUGCGGCAGGCCUAACACAUGCAAGUCGAACGAGUGGCGGACGGGUGAGUAAUGUCUGGGAAACUGCCUGAUGGAGGGGGAUAACUACUGGAAACGGUAGCUAAUACCGCAUACCAUCGGAUGUGCCCAGGUGGGAUUAGAUAGUAGGGGGGGUAAAGGCUCACCUAGGCGACGAUCCCUAGCUGGUCUGAGAGGAUGACCAGCCACACGGGAACUGAGACAAGGGCCAGACUCCGACGGGAGGCAGGAGUGGGGAAUAUUGCACAAUGGGCGCAAGCCUGAUGCAGCCAUGCCGCGUGUAUGAAGAAGGCCGGCGGGUUGUAAAGUAAUUUCAGCGGGGAGGCGUUACCCGCAGAAGAAGCACCGGCUAACUCCGUGCCAGCAGCCGCGGUAAUAC